RNAcentral lists this unclassified non-coding RNA (526 nucleotides) under Geomyphilus pierai. RNAcentral's name for it is "sequence contains 5.8S rRNA gene, ITS2, 28S rRNA gene". Lineage: Eukaryota; Metazoa; Arthropoda; Insecta; Coleoptera; Scarabaeidae. The record is from RNAcentral.
UCGACAUUUCGAACGCACAUUGCGGUCCUCGGAUACUGUUCCUGGACCACUCCUGGCUGAGGGUCGUUUCAAUUUCCACGACUGCCGGGUUGGGCGCACCGCCGAUAACGCGAAGGCCUCCAACGUGGUGCGCGCGCGCUGUAUACGCUCCCAACCGUGUGAGCGAAACGCGCGUCGUACGUACUGGACGGUCAGGCGCGAAAAGCGGACGGCCACCGAGGCAAGAAUCUGAGCGCUCGCGCACGAGCCGCAGCCCCGAUAUAGCGAUCGCGCCACGUGAUCGACGUCGGGGCGGCGCGCUAACGCGUCGCUUUAAAAUAUCGAACGAUAUAAUCAUUCGAGCCGACCGAAACCCGCGUACCGGCAAACGAUGCCCGGGCGACGCGCCGGUCGACGUGUCCGAGAGUGAAUCCCCCCGCCCUGAUAGAUUCGUCCGGGGCGGCGAGAGGUAUUCGUCCGACGUCCGAUCGCGCGCGUGCGGCCCGCCGGAUCCCGUUGCCUACGCGGCCGGUCGGUUACGAGAGAA